CCCUUAGAUGUUCUGGGCAGCGCGCGCGCUACAAUGGUCUUCGCAAACGGGUGCAUUCUCGAAGGAGAAUGCCAAUCUUGGAAUCUAUGCCUUGGUCGGGACAGUUGCUUGCAAUUUUUCGACUCGAACCAGGAAUUCCUUGUAAUCGUGAUUCAUCACAUCACGAUGAAUACGUCCCUGCCCUUUGUACACACCGCCCGUCGCUCCUACCGAUCGAAGAGUUAGGUGAAUUGUUUUGAUCGAUAAGAUUUGACUAUGGUCAACUCUCGUUGUGAAAUUCUGUGAAUCUGACUGUUUAGAGGAAGGAAAAGUCGUAACA
This 319-nucleotide ribosomal RNA is filed under the name uncultured eukaryote. Its description in RNAcentral is "partial 18S ribosomal RNA". It matches the Rfam family "Eukaryotic small subunit ribosomal RNA", at positions 1470 to 1796 of the family's 1831-position model. The record is from RNAcentral.